GCCGUCACCCUCUUGCGGUCGCUGGCGGGUCGCGGUAGACGGACCCGCACAGUGUCGCCGCUGUUGGUGCUGUCCAUCGCCUCUUUUUUCCCUUUUUUUUUCUGAACGCGCCUUUCUUUUUCCUCGUCUCUUUUUUUCCCUUUUUGCGGCCGUUGUCUCUGCUGUAGUCUCUCUCCUUUUUCCCUGUUUUUCGCUUUUUUUUACUUUUUUUGCUGCUCUUUUGCUUUUCUGUUGGGUGUUGGAUGGGUUUUUUUUCGUCGUCGGCGCCCGUUGGUGCGCGUCCUGCUCGGCCCUUGCCUUGGUCUCUCUUUUUUUUUGU
Molecule: long non-coding RNA, 319 nt
Filed under: Pandoravirus salinus
Description: putative ncRNA
Source: RNAcentral